Long non-coding RNA from Dama dama (fallow deer), 7589 nucleotides. RefSeq lists it as uncharacterized. NCBI's taxonomy places the organism in Eukaryota, Metazoa, Chordata, Mammalia, Artiodactyla, Cervidae. The transcript is spliced from 14 exons. The record is from RefSeq and is a predicted model, not a curated record.
UUCCCAUGUGUAGGUAGAUAGCAAGUUAAAGCAAAGAAAGAAGAAAAAAACUCAUUCAUUAUAGGGCUCCUUUUUAUAAAGUUGAAGGAUUAUAGUAAGAAAGAUAAUAGAAGAAGAGAUGUCUUUUGAUAUAGAAAACCACUGUCACUCUACAAAUGGAGGAACUGGAGAAGACGAUACUAGAAAAUUUAUUAAACACAAAAUAAAAUUAAAGUAAUAAGGACAAACUAUACUACCACUACCCCAAAAAGCAAAUUUUAAAUAACUUUCAAUGUUUUGUAUCUUUUUGCUUAACUUCUUUAUGUCCAAUAAAGAACUGUGCUUUCUUUAUUCUGGCUAUUACUAAUCACUCGUUUCCAAUGAUAACUAAUCAGAGAAAAACAAGAGUGCAUGUGUAUCCAGAAUACAGAGUAUGAACAUGAAAGACAAUGGCUUAUGGCAAUCUGCUUUAAGACAUGAUCUUCACAAGAAAAGUAUGCCAAGGCAGGUAUCACCUAACAUUCCUUUGCCUUGACAAAGUCCCAAACUGAACUCCUGCUUUACCUCUAUCUUCUUUCCCAUCUUAAUUGAUGGUAACUUCAUCAUUUUAGUCACUCAGAAGAAAUAAUCUUGGUAUCAUCUUUGACGCCUCUUUCUUGAAUAUCUCAGACAGAAUGUGCCCAAUUCUUACCACCUCCAUUUCUACUAUUCUGGACUUCAACAUCAUCAGAUUUUUCCAGGAUUGCCAGAUAAUGUCCUAAUUGUCUCCUUGCUUCUAUGAUUAGCUGUUACAGUCUAUUUCCAAGAUUAGACAUAAAACUUCUAAAAUUAAAUGAUAAAGCCAUCCCUCUGAUCAAAAAUUUUGAAUGGCUCCUUAUUACAUUCAGAUUAAAAACCAAAAGUCUUUACAAUGGCCUGCAAAGCUUAUACCACCUGCUAAAAGUAAAGACACUUUUUUCUAAACUCACACCACUUCUGAGCCCAGAUGUGUGGGUUUUUACACAAUAAGCAAUUCUCUAAUUCUCAAAAGACACUACAAUUUAACUCGAUUUGACACUACUGGAGUUAGUGUCAGAUUCCACAAGCCAACGGCUCAGUCCCACUAGACUGACUUCCCAUUUCAGACACCAACCACCAGUCCCAAGUAAUCAUUUGUAUUUCUGAUCAACCACCAGUAAGUUAGGGGUUCCCUCCAACCUCUGCCCAGGAUUUAAUUAAUUUGCUGGCAAGGCUCUGGAAAACAGCUUACUUGAGUGGAUUUCAAGUUCAUUAUAAAAGGAUACAACUCACGAACAGUCUGAUAGAAGAGCUGCACAGGGCAAAGAAUGUGGGACGGGGCAGGGAGCUUCCACACCCUCUCAAGAGCACCAUCCUCCCAACACCUCUACAUGUUCACCAACCCAAAAGGUCUCCAAACCACUUCAGUUAGGAUUUUUUAAUGGAGGCUUCAUUGUGUAGGCAUGCUUGAUUAAAUAUUUGGCCACUGGUGAUUGGCUCAACCUCCACCUCUCCCCUCUCUGGAAGUGUGUGUAUGUGUAUGGUGAGGAGAGGGGGUGGAGGGCUGAAAAUGUCAGUCCUCUAAUCACAUGGUUGGUUUCGUGGCAAUCAGUUCUCACCGUGCGGCUAGCACCCAGUCACCAACACACGUUUAUCUCAACCAUAGCCAUCUCAACACACAUUUAUCACCUUGUAGAUUCCAAGAAUUUUUGGAGCUGUGUGCCAGGAAACAGGCAGAGACCAAAUAUACAUUUCUUAUUAUGUAACACCGGCCCAUCUUCUCCCUAACUACUUUCCCUUUACGUUCUCCGUUUUCAACUUUAUGGGCCUCCUCGUUACUCCUGAACAAAACACGCAAACUCCUGCUCUAAAGCCUUGACACUCUAUUCCUCUGCCUGGAAUACACUUCCUCUUGAUACCCACGUGACUUCUUCCUGGCUCACUUCAUGAUUGCUGUGCUCAAAAAUCACCUUCUAAUUGAGGCUUAUACUCAAAGUUGCAACCCACUCCAUAUUCCCAACUCCCCCUGUCCUGCUCUACUUUCUCUCUUCCCCUUGGCUUUCUUCACCAACUGAGAUAGCAUACAAUUGACUUAUUGUUUUUACCACUGUUUAUCAUUGUUUCUCCUCCCAAUCCUCUAAGAAUAUAAACUCAAUUCCAAGCAACUAGAACAAUACAAAGUACAUGGUAGGCAGUCAUUAAAUACUUACUGAAUGAAACUCAGGAAACAAAAUGAAACCUCUAUUAACAAACCCUAUGAAAUCAACAAGGAGACCUAGGCAUUAAAGGUAUAGGACAAUUUCCCACCACUUAGCAGCUAGGUUAGUGUCAGUAGUAUACAGACAAGGAGGUAAGACUAUUUCAGGCCUAUACAGCAGUACCUUUUAAGAGGAAACAUCUUCUAGGGUUCAAACAGACUGCAUCUAAAAACAGGGAGGGCCAAGAUUUUACUGUGCAGGGUGAGAAGUUUAGAAGAAGAUAAAGCACAAAGUACCUGGUUAACAAAGAAUGCCCUGAUGGGUUCUUGCCAAGGAUGGAAUUCAUGUUCUGAUACUGACCUCAUGAUUUCCAAUUAUUCUACCUCUGAAAAACUUCCACGAACACAGCAUAUUACUCAACUACUCAAUCAUUAAAAGCAAAUGAAUUCCAUUAUCUAUAAUUAUAAUCUAUAUUAAAAAGUUCAUAGAAUUAUUGUAAGAAUCACAAACCAUGUCUAAACUAAUAAAUGCCCAAAAUAUGGCAGGCACUCAGUAAAAAUGCAAGCUAAUUAUAAUAACAGCAAAAACAUAAUCUUUGAUAUAAAAUGAUUUUUAACAAUAUAAAAAACACAUUUGAAGAAAAAGUAAAAGCUGUAUUGAUAGUUUACACCCCAUUUUGUUAUUCCUCCACUUCUUUAAACUGACGUAUCAAUCUUGACUAAAGACUUAAUCCAGAUUAGUGGCACCGGAUAAACUGUACAAUGAAUUAUUAACUUCCAAAUUUAAAAAUCUAUUAAUAAGUCAUUCUUAGAAAAUAAGCACUUUUAUAGAGCUAUCCUACUUUAAGAAAACUUAAAAUAUGAAAACUUCUAAUUACAAAAAAAAGUUUGGGAAUGCUUCACAAGUGGAUUCACCACAGUAUUAUUUUAAACAUUCAUUUACUAACUGAGCUAGAGAAAGAGAAAUGAGUUACAAUGUUGGAAGGCAAUGCAUCAGAAAUAAAGUGAAAGCAAUUCUGAAAUAAUGUAACAGAGAUUUAAUUUAGAAGAAUUCAAUCUAUGUACAACUCAGAAAAAUUCAAAACUUCCUUAAUGACAAUUUUAAUUCAUAAAUAACAUGACAACCAUGCAGCCAUAAACAAUAACUAGCAACUUUUCUGAGGUAACUCAAGUAAAAUAAAAGUUCUUCAACCAUAUGCAAUGGCUUGUAGCACGUUGGGGUAUGUCACUGAACACCUUUGAUGGCAGCCUAUGGACCCCUUAGGAUAAUGUUUGUAAAAACAUAAAAUAUAAUUCAUGGGAUUACAACUAAAAAAGGAUGAAAAAAAUGUGUAAGAUUCCCACGAAAACCAGUUACAUUAAAAUUCAGUUCUAAUCAUAGACCACAAUUUUAAUCAUGAGUCCUCAGUUAAUAAAAGAACUGCUGAUAGAGGAUAUGGAUUAACUUGGAAAAGCAAAGAAGAAAUACUUUUGCCUAAAUAUUCUAUACAUGUAGUAUUCCUAGUAUUUAAAAAAAUAACUUGCCAAGAUUAGGAUAUUAUAUAAUUAUUUAAAAUUUAAAUAACUUUUGAAAGUUUUUAUCUCUAGUAGAACAUUUCUUGUUCCUACUGUGUGCAUAUACUAUAAUGCAAAAUAACAGUUCCAGCAGGAAAAUAACUUGUGAUUUGACUACUGAAUGUGUACAUUACCUUAAAACAGAAUUUUCAUUUUUGAAAUCUUUGUCUGGCUAAAAAAAACUUCUAAAUCAUUAUUCCCAAAAUAUCCUGGUACUGCAUAGUUUAAAAUAAACAUUUGACACUAAAGAAUGGAAAAGAUCUUGAAUCACAGUCUUUACUAAAAUCGUAAGCUUUUUGAUUUUUUUUUUAAUUUAUUUUUAUUAUUAUUAUUAUUUUUUUCCAGUGGGUUUUGUCAUACAUUGAUAUGAAUCAGCCAUGGAUUUACAUGGAUUCCCAAUCCCGAUCCCCCCUCCCACCUCCCUCUCCACCCGAUUCCUCUGGGUCUUCCCAGUGCACCAGGCUGGAGCACUAGCUUUUUGAUUUUUUAAGAAAAAGAAUAAACUAGGUGAAAAAUGGUGCCCGUACACCAUUAAAAUAGCUGUCUUUGAAAAAAACCACUUUUUUGUAUCUUCUAAAGAAAAUAUUAAUAAAUGACUAUUAAUGUCAAGUUACAAGAACUAUACAAAUCUACCUACAUUUAUAAAAACAUUGUUUUAGUUAAUAGUGAAAAUGAAAGAUCUGUUCUUGGUUGCUUAUUUUUCACACUGUAGGAAAAAACACACAUAACUAGUGAGUUGAGUAGAAUAAAUCACUUUCAUGUUUUAUCACUAGUAAUUGUGAACCUAAACAAACUGUACAGUGAGUUCAUUUUAAAAACUAAUAAAAUUUAAAAUAAAAACAAAAACCUUUUUUUUCAGAGCAUAACUAACUCCUUCCUACAGUGUGCUUGUCUAUUUGAAAUUAUGACAACGGCAGAUAAAUCAUACAUUAUUUUGCAAUGUUUCUUUUGUUUUUAUUUCUCUUUGCCUCGAUCAUCAUCAUGGAACCAAAAAGAACAGAACAUUACACUAACAAGAAGUAUUUAAUAUUAACUUAGCCAAAAGUUCAUUUCAAUCUGAAUUUUGUUAGGAAUUUUUCCGUCUUUUAAAUGCUGAGAAUUACGAACGCUUUUCUUUAAAGAACAUUACUAAAAGUGAAUCACAGACCCUAAUCACAAAGAACCUCCUAAAUUUAAACAUCCCUCAGAAAUAGCCUUGAAAACUCACUGGAAAAAAAUACAUAUUUUCUUCCAGAUAAGGAAACAUUUGGCAAACUCUUAUCUAACAACGCCUUGCAGUACAUUUGCAAGCAAUAAUGAGGCUUCGCACUGAUGGAGAAAACCUUGGAGGGGAGUAACAAAACCUCAGAGCACGCUCAGACUGCAGGCUUUAGAAACCCUCUCUGCUACACCUGUGCAAGUACUUCCUGUUCUCCAAAGAUAUUUAAAAGUUGGUAAACGUCCCGUUGGUGAAAGAAAUGGCAACCCACUCCAGUAUUCUUGCCUGGAAAAUCUCAUGGACAGAGGAGCCUGGUGGACUACAGUCCACGGGGUCGCAAAGAGUCGGACACGACUGGGCACACACCAGACCAGAAAUGUCCCCUAACUCGCCAUUUAGAAGCUAAACAUUAACUUCAUAAAUUACUACUACUAAAUCACUAAAUUAUUACUACUACCACUCAGAAAUCAACAGUCCGAAGAGUCUCAUGAAUCAUCUCUUCUCCAAACAGAGCAACAAAACCCCUUUAAAAAGCUGCUGCUCGAGAGGCAGUGGCUUGGAAAGAGAGGGGAAGGCGCCAAGUAAGCAUAAUAUUCAUAAUUCCAAAGCACUAAGCGACCCAGCAGGAUCCCAGGUUCCGCCUCUGGCCAACCUUCAAACACAGCAGCAACGAACAACCACAGCCCAGGCAAUCUCCCGCUGGCCCAGCUCCGCGUCAAGCUGACACCCGGCUGACACACCAACCGCUGCCACCGAAACCGAGGCUCACCGGGAACUGGAGCAGAGGCGACCGGUCUCCGCCGCCCAGAGCCCGACCCAGCGCACGGAGCAUGCGCACACGCCUCAACACCCCAAGGCCAGUCAGGCCAUUGACACCUGCGAUCAACAGGUCCUGGGAGCCCCGCCCAAAUCCCCGCCUCACCCCCGCCCCGCCUCCUCGAAGCUGACCCCGCCUCCAGGCUCCAGGAGCUGGCUCCGCCCCCACAUGCGAUUUCCCGGCUUCCCGGACCUGCGGAUCUGUGUUCCCGCGCGGGUUCGAUGGGGCUGGCGAUCCAGCUGACUUACUCUGAGCCGCGAGAUCCCGCGAGAGCAGGGACUUGACCAUUUUUCUUAAGGCGGGAGCGGAGCGCUGGGGUUAACUGUUGUUCGAGAAAGGAGGCAGCAGUUACUGAGAGAACAGAGUGAAGAUACCUGGAAGGAAGUUGUCAUCACUCAGGGUGUCUUCUGGAAGUCUGCUGGUCUGAGGGACCUGUGAAGAAAGCUGAGCGCUGAAAAAUUGAUGCUUUUGAACUGUGGUGUUGGAGAAGACUCUUGAGAGUCCCUUGGACUGCAAGGAGAUCCAACCAGUCCAUCCUAAAGGAGGUUUGAAAUUACUACAAAAGUAUCAUGUGAUGAAUGGGAAAUUCCCAGUGUAUCUGUGGAAGAAAACUGGUCCUACUGGAUACUGAACAUCAGAGAUAACUGAGUUUUCCCCAGCAAAGGGGAUGGCCAUGCCAGCAGCUCUGCAGCUGCUCCUGCCAGUCACUCCAUUUCGCCAUCAUUCCUUUGGCCCCAUGAGAGCUGAAGUCACUGCUACCAGGAGCUGUCAGUCAGUCCACAAGUGUGUUUACAGAUGGCACGGUAGGAGUCCAAGAUGACUGAAAUUUUGCCUUGAGACUUGAGGAAUGCCCAUAAAGAAGAGCAGAGCAAGGAACACAGAAUUCCUUCCAGAUGGGCUUCGGCAGACAAACAUUGGGCUCUGUUACGCACUGAUAUUUGGAAAGAGAAAGUAAACAUCGACUGCAACUUGUCUAUUAACAUCCUGUGAAAACUACCAAAAGGGAGAGUCAAGCUUCCUGGGGAUAUGGCACAGAUGUAUAAAAUUUUUCCAAAGGAGCCUCAUAUUUUAAGGGAUCAGCUACCUGUGCAUCUUGGGGCAGACAGCCAAUCUACUUUUUUCUCCAAAACUGAAGGAGUUCUUGAGGGAAGGAAACAGCUCUGCACAUCCUGUAAAGGCAGAAGAGAAAAAGAGCUGCCCCUCCUCUAUACUCCUUCAGAAACUCUUCAUCAGCCAUGGAGCGAGAUUAAACACAAUUUCUGUUUAAUCAUAUGUGACAGGUGGCAGGAUUCCACCACCACAUUUUGAAAGGAUUUUCCAAGGAAGCCUGGGUGCAAAAAAUUUCAAGGAAACUCCUUUCUUCACAGUGAACAUAAAUUAAAAAAAGAAAGAAAGAAAGAAAGCCAAAGGGAAAGAAGAAUAACUACAAAGGCCUAUGGUCCAUAUAUUUCAUGAGGAUCUAGAUCCAUUUUUAAUAGUAAGAAAGACCAUGUAAUCAGAAACCAUUGGCGCCGGAAGAGACCCUCCGAAGGUCAUGAGGACCAGACUCUCAUGCCAAGUUUGCUUCUCUUUGGAAAGCCACUGUGCAAACCUACUGUGUGUGUAACAUCCAUCUGGGUCCUACCACAUCAACCCUGUGGAGUCUGAGGCAAGAUUAACUGGUGUCAACAGGCUGAUGUCCGAGCUGCUUGCUGCGCCCUCAUAGUCAAACUCUUUGUCUCCACCCAAGAGUCUCACGUCUGCUUUCAGCAUCCAUGAAGCAGUAACAGGGUAAGUUAGUAACUUGCAAGGAGGGUCAAAUUAAAUCCCAGGCCAGUGGGGUAAAACUGAGAUACUAGUAGAGGAAU